UACGGAGGAUGCGAGCGUUAUCCGGAUUUAUUGGGUUUAAAGGGUGCGUAGGCGGCUUUUUAAGUCAGCGGUGAAAUUUUGCAGCUUAACUGUAACAGUGCCGUUGAUACUGGGGAGCUAGGAUUUGGUUGCUGUGGGUGGAAUGUGUGGUGUAGCGGUGAAAUGCUUAGAGAUCACACAGAAUAUCGAUUGCGAAGGCAGCUCACAAAGCCAAGAUUGACGCUGAGGCACGAAAGUGUGGGGAUCAAACAGGAUUAGA
RNAcentral lists this ribosomal RNA (259 nucleotides) under uncultured prokaryote. RNAcentral's name for it is "partial 16S ribosomal RNA". It matches the Rfam family "Bacterial small subunit ribosomal RNA", at positions 524 to 782 of the family's 1533-position model. The record is from RNAcentral.